UGGAUGUGAGAGCCACGUGGUACGGAACGGAAGUAGCGUGACCGGAAGUCGGAGAAAGAGGAAGUGGCCGGAACCGGAAGUGGCACGUGCGCGAUGGGAAUCGGGGGGAAAAUCAACCGCCCGAAAACGGAGCUCCGCCGGAAGUUAUUUAAGAGGCGGCGGGAACUCAGCAAGGCACGGAGGCGACGGAAAUGGUGUCCCCAAGAAGCCACAGGACGUGGAGAUGGUGGACGUUACAGCGGGGAACUGAGUGAUUCAAGGCCGUCCCAACGUGACCAAUAAAGGCUUUCGUUGCAGUCACGUGUCCGUGUGUCCUCCGUGUCCCUCUGUCCCUCUCCCCUUCCUCACCCUCCCCCCCAACCCUCCCGCGAAAAGUUUCCGCACGGACUCAUUUCGCAGCGCCGGAACAUUUCAGCUGCGGAACCAUUCUACGGUUCACAUUUUCCGAGUCGGAACCAUGAAGCGAAAAGGACACGCUUCCGGUUCGGAACCCUUUUUUUAGUUACCCGACAUAUUUCCGGUUCGGGCGACGGAAGUGCGCUCCGCGCAUGCGCACUCUGCACCUCGGGCCUGCGUCCACCCCUUUUAACCCCCUUUAAUACCAUAUAAAUCCCUUUUAACCCCAUUUACUCCCAUAUAGACCCCUUUUAACCUAUUUAAUCCCAUACAGACCCCUUUUAACCCCAUUUACUCCCACAUAGACCCCAUACAGACCCCUUUUAACCCCAUUUAAUCCCACAUAGACCCCACAUAGAUCCCUUUUAACCCCAAUUAAUCCCGUAUAGACCCCUUAUAGACCUCUUUUAACCUCAUUUAGAUCCCGUUUAACCCCAUUUAAUCCCAUACAGACCCCAUAUAGACCACUUUGAACCCCUUUUAACCCCAUUGACAUCCCUUUUAACCCCAUUUAGAUCCCUUUUAACCCCAUUAACCCCAUAUAGACCCCAUUGCGCUCCCUUGUAACCCCAUUUAACCCCAUUUAGAUCCUUUUAAACCCCUUUUAAUCACAUGUACACCCAUAUGACCCCACUUAGACCCCAUAUAACCCCAUUUAGACCCGUAUAUACCCAUCUAGACCCCAUAUAACCCCAUUUAAUCCCAUUUAUCCCCCAUCUACUCCCCAUAUAGACCCCAUUUAACCCCAUUAACCCCAUACAGACUCCUUUUAAUCCCAUUUAACCCUAUUUAAUCCCAUAUAACCCCAUUUAGCCCCAUAUACAACUCUUUUAAUCCCAUUUAGACUCCAUUUAGUCCCAUAUAGACCCUGUUUAACCCCAUUCAG
RNAcentral lists this long non-coding RNA (1282 nucleotides) under Chrysolophus pictus (golden pheasant). RNAcentral describes it as "lncRNA (ENSCPIG00010001975.1)". Lineage: Eukaryota; Metazoa; Chordata; Aves; Galliformes; Phasianidae. The record is from RNAcentral.